GCCUUUGUAGCUCAGUGGCAGAGCGCUUUCUUGGUAAGAAAGAGGUCGCGGGUUCAAUCCCCGCCAAAGGCU
Molecule: transfer RNA, 72 nt
Filed under: bacterium
Lineage: Bacteria
Also listed under: 1 other name
Description: tRNA-Thr
Rfam family: tRNA
About the family: Transfer RNA (tRNA) molecules are approximately 80 nucleotides in length. Their secondary structure includes four short double-helical elements and three loops (D, anti-codon, and T loops).
Source: RNAcentral